CCUACGGGUGGCAGCAGUGGGGAAUAUUGGACAAUGGGGGCAACCCUGAUCCAGCCAUGCCGCGUGUGUGAAGAAGGCCCUCGGGUUGUAAAGCACUUUCAGUGAGGAAGAACGCCUGGUGGUUAAUACCCAUCAGGAAAGACAUCACUCACAGAAGAAGCACCGGCUAACUCCGUGCCAGCAGCCGCGGUAAUACGGAGGGUGCGAGCGUUAAUCGGAAUUACUGGGCGUAAAGCGCGCGUAGGUGGCUUGAUAAGCCGGUUGUGAAAGCCCCGGGCUCAACCUGGGAACGGCAUCCGGAACUGUCAAGCUAGAGUGCAGGAGAGGAAGGUAGAAUUCCCGGUGUAGCGGUGAAAUGCGUAGAGAUCGGGAGGAAUACCAGUGGCGAAGGCGGCCUUCUGGACUGACACUGACACUGAGGUGCGAAAGCGUGGGUAGCGAACAGGAUUAGAUACCCUAGUAGUC
Molecule: ribosomal RNA, 465 nt
Filed under: Vreelandella stevensii
Lineage: Bacteria; Pseudomonadati; Pseudomonadota; Gammaproteobacteria; Oceanospirillales; Halomonadaceae
Description: partial 16S ribosomal RNA
Rfam family: Bacterial small subunit ribosomal RNA
Source: RNAcentral